Onychostruthus taczanowskii (white-rumped snowfinch) is the source of this 126-nucleotide long non-coding RNA. RefSeq lists it as uncharacterized. Lineage: Eukaryota; Metazoa; Chordata; Aves; Passeriformes; Passeridae. The transcript has 2 exons. The record is from RefSeq and is a predicted model, not a curated record.
UGGGGGCAGGGCAGCCCCACGCCCGUGCUGCACGUGGGCUGGGCCACCUUCCUCGUGCAGUCCCUGGGCCGCUUCGAUGGCCAGGUGCGCCAGCAGGUGACCCUCCUCUCCGAAGACCCCACCCCC